RNAcentral lists this ribosomal RNA (510 nucleotides) under uncultured Alphaproteobacteria bacterium. RNAcentral describes it as "bacterial SSU rRNA". It matches the Rfam family "Bacterial small subunit ribosomal RNA", at positions 370 to 896 of the family's 1533-position model. Lineage: Bacteria; Pseudomonadati; Pseudomonadota; Alphaproteobacteria. The record is from RNAcentral.
CAUGGGCGCAACCUGAUCUAGCCAUGCCGCGUGAGUGAUGAAGGCCUUAGGGUCGUAAAGCUCUUUCGCCAGGGAUGAUAAUGACAGUACCUGGAAAAGAAACCCCGGCUAACUCCGUGCCAGCAGCCGCGGUAAUACUGCAGGGGGUUCAGCGUUGUUCGGAAUUACUGGUGCGUAAAGCGUACGUAGGCUGAGUAGCAAGUAAGGGGCGAAAUCCCAGGGCUCAACCCCGGGACUGCCUUUAAUACUGCUAGUCUUGAGUUCGAGAGAGGUGAGUGGAAUUCCGAGUGUAGAGGUGAAAUUCGUAUAUAUUCGGAGGAACACCAGUGGCGAAGGCGGCUCACUGGCUCGAUACUGACGCUGAGGUACUAAAGUGUGGGGAGCAAACAGGAUUAGAUACCCUGGUAGUCCACACCGUAAACGAUGAAUGCCAGUCGUCGNGUAGCAUGCUAUUCGGUGACGCACCUAACGUAUUAAGCAUUCCGCCUGGGGAGUACGGUCGCAAGAUUA